This 301-nucleotide ribosomal RNA is filed under the name uncultured bacterium. RNAcentral's name for it is "partial 16S ribosomal RNA". It matches the Rfam family "Bacterial small subunit ribosomal RNA", at positions 509 to 807 of the family's 1533-position model. The record is from RNAcentral.
CAGUAGCCGCGGUAAUACGAAGGGGGCUAGCGUUGUUCGGAUUUACUGGGCGUAAAGCGCACGUAGGCGGACUUUUAAGUCAGGGGUGAAAUCCCGGGGCUCAACCCCGGAACUGCCUUUGAUACUGGGAGUCUUGAGUUCGAGAGAGGUGAGUGGAAUUGCGAGUGUAGAGGUGAUAUUCGUAGGUAUUCGGAAGAACACCAGUGGCGAAGGCGGCUCACUGGACGCGUAUUUACGCUGAGGUACGAAAGCGUGGGGAGCAAACAGGAUUAGAUACCCCUGUAGUCCCUGUCUCUUAUAC